This 378-nucleotide unclassified non-coding RNA is filed under the name uncultured Gammaproteobacteria bacterium. Its description in RNAcentral is "contains 16S-23S intergenic spacer region". The record is from RNAcentral. Lineage: Bacteria; Pseudomonadati; Pseudomonadota; Gammaproteobacteria.
UCCGGUUUAUCACCGGCAGUCUUCUUAGAGUUCCCGCCAUUACGCGCUGGUAACUAAGAAUAAGGGUUGCGCUCGUUGCGGGACUUAACCCAACAUCUCACGACACGAGCUGACGACAGCCAUGCAGCACCUGUAUCCAGGUUCCCGAAGGCACGCUCUCAUUACAAGAGUUUUCCUGGUAUGUCAAGGGUAGGUAAGGUUCUUCGCGUAGCAUCGAAUUAAACCACAUACCCCACCGCUUGUGCGGGUCCCCGUCAAUUCCUUUGAGUUUUAAUCUUGCGACCGUACUUCCCAGGCGGAGAACUUAUCGCGUUAGCUUCGACACUGAAUCGCGUAGCGAUCCAACAUCUAGUUCUCAUCGUUUAGGGCGUGGACUAC